Molecule: small RNA, 346 nt
Filed under: Pan troglodytes (chimpanzee)
Lineage: Eukaryota; Metazoa; Chordata; Mammalia; Primates; Hominidae
Description: processed transcript
Source: RNAcentral
GAUUGUGUCUGGGGUGGGGUGGAGCAUGGAGGCUAUGUCUAGGAACUAGGCACACCUAACCACUGAAAAGUUGGUGUGCCAUGUGUUAUAACAAUGUCUAUUUCCUUAUCAGAUUGCUUACUCAGACACCAGCCCAUUCUUGAUCCUUUCUGAGGCGUCGCUGGCGGAUCUCAACUCCAGGCUAGAGAAGAAAGUUAAAGCAACCAACUUCAGGCCCAAUAUUGUAAUUUCAGGAUGCGAUGUCUAUGCAGAGGUAACGCUAUGCCCCUUUGGAUCUUUCCUUGGAUUUGACUUCUUUUUUAAGGAUUCUUGGGAUGAGCUUCUUAUUGGUGACGUGGAACUGAAA